GAUGAACGCUGGCGGCGUGCCUAAUACAUGCAAGUCGAACGCAUUGUGGUUGAAAUGAUAUGAAGAACUUGUUCAGAUUUGAUUUUAAACAUUGCAAUGAGUGGCGAACGGGUGAGUAACACGUGGGAAACCUACCUCUUAGCAGGGGAUAACAUUUGGAAACAAAUGCUAAUACCGUAUAAUAAUUAAAACCGCAUGGUUUUAGUUUAAAAGAUGGUCUUGCUAUCACUGAGAGAUGGUCCCGCGGUGUAUUAGUUAGUUGGUGAGGUAAUGGCUCACCAAGACAAUGAUACAUAGCCGAGUUGAGAGACUGACCGGCCACAAUGGGACUGAGACACGGCCCAUACUCCUACGGGAGGCAGCAGUAGGGAAUCUUCCACAAUGGACGAAAGUCUGAUGGAGCGAACGCCGCGUGUGUGAUGAAGGUUUCGGCUCGUAAAACACUAGUUGUAAGAGAAGAAUGACAUUGAGAGUAACU
Molecule: ribosomal RNA, 478 nt
Filed under: uncultured bacterium
Lineage: Bacteria
Description: bacterial SSU rRNA
Rfam family: Bacterial small subunit ribosomal RNA
Source: RNAcentral